CUCCAGACUCCUACGGGAGGCAGCAGUGAGGAAUAUUGGUCAAUGGACGCAAGUCUGAACCAGCCAUGCCGCGUGCAGGAUGACGGCUCUAUGAGUUGUAAACUGCUUUUGUACGAGGGUAAACCCCGAUACGUGUAUCGGGUUGAAAGUAUCGUACGAAUAAGGAUCGGCUAACUCCGUGCCAGCAGCCGCGGUAAUACGGAGGAUCCGAGCGUUAUCCGGAUUUAUUGGGUUUAAAGGGUGCGUGGGCGGAAUGCCAAGUCAGCGGUAAAAGCGCGGGGCUCAACCGCGCUCCGCCGUUGAAACUGGCGUUCUUGAGUGGGCGAGAAGUAUGCGGAAUGCGUGGUGUAGCGGUGAAAUGCAUAGAUAUCACGCAGAACUCCGAUUGCGAAGGCAGCAUACCGGCGCGCAACUGACGCUCAUGCACGAAAGCGUGGGUAUCGAACAGGAUUAGAUACCCGUGUA
This 465-nucleotide ribosomal RNA is filed under the name uncultured bacterium. RNAcentral describes it as "bacterial SSU rRNA". It matches the Rfam family "Bacterial small subunit ribosomal RNA", at positions 329 to 792 of the family's 1533-position model. The record is from RNAcentral.